RNAcentral lists this ribosomal RNA (497 nucleotides) under uncultured bacterium. RNAcentral describes it as "partial 16S ribosomal RNA". It matches the Rfam family "Bacterial small subunit ribosomal RNA", at positions 28 to 507 of the family's 1533-position model. The record is from RNAcentral.
GAUGAACGCUGGCGGCGUGCCUAAUACAUGCAAGUCGAGCGAACAGACGAGGAGCUUGCUCCUCUGACGUUAGCGGCGGACGGGUGAGUAACACGUGGAUAACCUACCUAUAAGACUGGGAUAACUUCGGGAAACCGGAGCUAAUACCGGAUAAUAUAUUGAACCGCAUGGUUCAAUAGUGAAAGACGGUUUUGCUGUCACUUCUAGCUGGAUCCGCGCCGCAUUAGCUAGUUGGUAAGGUAACGGCUUACCAAGGCAACGAUGCGUAGCCGACCUGAGAGGGUGAUCGGCCACACUGGAACUGAGACACGGUCCAGACUCCUACGGGAGGCAGCAGUAGGGAAUCUUCCGCAAUGGGCGAAAGCCUGACGGAGCAACGCCGCGUGAGUGAUGAAGGUCUUGGGAUCGUAAAACUCUGUUAUUAGGGAAGAACAAAUGUGUAAGUAACUAUGCACGUCUUGACGGUACCUAAUCAGAAAGCCACGGCUAACUACGUG